GUGCUGACUCAGCUGCACAUAUUCUCACAUUGGAAUAAUACAGAGAAGAUUAACAUGGUCCUUGAAUAAGGAUGGCAUGCAAAUUUGUGAAGCAUUCCAUGCUUAU
Jaculus jaculus (lesser Egyptian jerboa) is the source of this 106-nucleotide small nuclear RNA. The record is from Ensembl. Lineage: Eukaryota; Metazoa; Chordata; Mammalia; Rodentia; Dipodidae.